GACAGAGGUGGCAAGCGUUGUUCGGUGUUACUGGGCUUAAAGGGUGCGUAGGCGGCAAGGCAAACGCGUUGUGAAAUACCUCGGCUUAACCGAGGAACAGCUUCGCGGACUACCUUGCUUGAGGCAGGUAUGGGUGCGGGGAACGGUUGGUGGAGCGGUGGAAUGCGUAGAUAUCAACCGGAACGCCGGUGGUGAAGACGCUGCACUGGGCCUGCCCUGACGCUGAGGCACGAAAGCGUGGGUAU
Molecule: ribosomal RNA, 245 nt
Filed under: uncultured bacterium
Lineage: Bacteria
Description: partial 16S ribosomal RNA
Rfam family: Bacterial small subunit ribosomal RNA
Source: RNAcentral